This 96-nucleotide microRNA precursor is filed under the name Nicotiana sylvestris (wood tobacco). Its description in RNAcentral is "MIR6152 microRNA precursor family". It matches the Rfam family "MIR6152 microRNA precursor family". RNAcentral also lists the same sequence under 1 other name. The record is from Rfam by way of RNAcentral. Lineage: Eukaryota; Viridiplantae; Streptophyta; Magnoliopsida; Solanales; Solanaceae.
UGGACAGAUUAUUAUAUUCGGCUGUAUUCACGGCGUGAAACAGGGGAAUACACUGUUUUUAAACGGAAAGUGAAUCAAUUAACAUAAUAGACUCUU